Nymphalis io (European peacock) is the source of this 406-nucleotide long non-coding RNA. RefSeq lists it as uncharacterized. The record is from RefSeq and is a predicted model, not a curated record. NCBI's taxonomy places the organism in Eukaryota, Metazoa, Arthropoda, Insecta, Lepidoptera, Nymphalidae. The transcript has 3 exons.
CGCCAGUCCACUCGUUCUGUUUGAGCAACAAUCACCGCGGUCACCAUGAAGUUUUUACUACUGAUCUUCACUAUUUUCAUCGCGUUCGGGAUGGCAAUGGAUCAAACUCCAAUAUGUACUCGUAACUGUCAGGCGGAAUAUCUCCCAGUCUGCUCUACUGCCGGCGACACGUACAGCAAUAUUUGCUAUCUGAGAUGUGCACAAGCUGAGUAUCUACGCGAUGGAGUCUGUCCAUCUGAAUCAUAAGCGAUAUAUUCAUCCAGUUAUUCUGAUCUUAUAAUCUUCAGAAAUAUUAUACUUUUAUAUUGAAAUGUGAUUGCAAUGAAUAAAUACUUAUCAUUCAUCUGUCAUUAAUGAAGAUUUAUUGUUUGAUUGAAAAGGAAUAAAAAUAUAUAUUUGUUUUUAA